CAGUAGAUGCACCCUGAUCCAAUCCCCUGCCACUAGGUCAGGGGAUUUUUUU
Molecule: small RNA, 52 nt
Filed under: Desertifilum tharense IPPAS B-1220
Lineage: Bacteria; Bacillati; Cyanobacteriota; Cyanophyceae; Desertifilales; Desertifilaceae
Description: Desertifilum sp. IPPAS B-1220 Nitrogen stress-induced RNA 1
Rfam family: Nitrogen stress-induced RNA 1
Source: Rfam by way of RNAcentral